Molecule: transfer RNA, 73 nt
Filed under: Canis lupus familiaris (dog)
Lineage: Eukaryota; Metazoa; Chordata; Mammalia; Carnivora; Canidae
Also listed under: 1 other name
Rfam family: tRNA
About the family: Transfer RNA (tRNA) molecules are approximately 80 nucleotides in length.
Source: Rfam by way of RNAcentral
GCCUGGCUGGCUCAGUCAGUAGAGCAGGACACUCUUGAUUUCCAGGUCAUGAGUUCAAGCCCCAUGUUGGGGC